GAGGAAUCAUCUGCUCCGCUGGGCAGGCCACAAAACCAAGUCAGCCAUGUGUAGACUUCAGGAUCAUGCUGGUGUUUGUGCAGAAUCCAGGCAGGGUCUAUGCUGAGCUGAAGGAUUAGCUGUGUUCGCUUAAUCAACAUCUAAUCAGCAGGAACCUUGAGAAACAAGCAGCUGUGAGGUUCUUUCUUGAUUUCUUGAUGUUUCGAUGAUAUUCUUCCAAACUUCCAAAAUAUCAGAGAAAAUUCAAGUUCCCUUAAAAUUUUUAGUCUGGCUAUCAUUCUGUAGAAUAUUUUAACCAUUGUGUAAGUUCAACUCGUUAGUGUGAAAUCUGUGUUGUUGCAACUCUUUCAUGGUACGAUAAUAUGAUACAAUACUACGAUACGAUAAGAUACGAUAUGAUACGAUAAGAUAUGAUAAGAUAAGAUACAAUACCUUACAAUACCAUACAAUACUACGAUACGAUACAAUACUACAAAACAAUACUACAAUACGAUAAGAUACGAUACAAUACUACAAAACAUAAAAUACGAUACAAUAAGAUACAAUACUAUGAUACAAUACUACGCUAGAUACAAUACUACGAUAUGAUAGGAUAUGAUACCAUUCUACGUUACAAUACGAUACAACACUACGAUAGGAUAAAAUAGAAUACUAUGAUACGAUACAAUACGAUACAAUUCGACGAUAUAAUACUACGAUACAAUACGAUAAAGUACUACGAUAGGAUAAAUUAGAAUACUAUGAUACGAUAUAAUACGACUAUAUAAUACUACGGUACAAUACGAUACAGUACUACGAUAUGAUAAGAUUCUACACCAUUCUAGCAUAUAAUACAAUGCUACAGACCAAAAGAUGCGAUACAAUACUCGAUACGAUACAAUACUACAAUACUACAAUACGAUAAGAUACGAUACAUUACAAUACAAUACUAUGAUACAAUACAAUACUACGAUACGAUAAGAUAUGAUACCAUUCUACAAUACGAUACGAUACGAUAUGAUACAGUACUACGAUAAGAUACGAUACGAUACAAUACAAUACAAUACGAUAUGGUACAAUACGAUGCAACAUGACUUAUUUUCCCUGUAGGGUAGGUUGUCUUGGAUUUAUGUGCUGCCCAAUUUUGCUGCCACAUUAUUAUAAAUAAAUACUUAAAAAUGAAGUGUGAAAAACAAAAUUGAGUGACUCACUUGUACGCAGAGAAUCAGGGACCAAUAACAACCACAAACAACCUGAUUUACGUUUUCCUUAUUGCACAUAAAAGUGGUACCACACAGUAUAAGCAUGUGGAGUUAAAACACAUGAAGGUAGUGUUUUGCAGCUUACAAUUUUAUGAAUAAAAGAUUUUAAGAAAAACUGAGAUGGAGUUGAAAAACAGCAUCUUCAUGGAUGUUUGGCUGCAGCUACACAGAAACAUCUAUUCAUAGACAUUAAUAAACUAGCUCAACUGCAAGUGAAUCACCUGUAAACAAUUACUCGAACUACAUACAGAAAACCAGGACACUCAAGAUAAAAGAGUACUGUCUUUCUCUUGCAAAUUGAUCGAAUAUGAAUUGAUUUUUUUAAUAAUGUGCAAAAGGAGAUUAUCCUGUAUGCACAUAUUUUUGGAGGCACAGGCAAUGCCUGCGGAAAGAACAAUAGACCAUACCACCGGGACUACAAAUGUAAGCCAGAGCGCCUCAAAGCUAAAACUUAUACUCCUUGCCUCCACAUGUGUCCCCCAAAAAAGUUUUUUAGGGGAGGUACAUUUUUUAUGUUGAGGAAUUAAAAACAAGAGGUAAAGUCAUUACUUAAAUUAUUCGUUGAAAGCAUCAAUAAUAGUGAACAGAUGACCCCUCUGGGUACGUAGACAGCAUGUUGGCAACAUACUUCUUUGGAAUAAUGUCGUCAAACUCCAGGAAUUCACUCCUAAAUGCCGAGAAAUAGCUCCUACACUCUGGAAAAACCACAACCUGUCAUUUUCUUAUUUCCAUCUUCUCACCUGGGGCAGUGGGAACAAGCUGUAAACACAAAAUGGAUAUAUUAUCACCUGUUAAAUCGAUUUAGAAUGAGCAGAAACAGUUCGACACUUCAUCUGUUUGGUGUUGUGCUUGAGACCACCUCGAAGUUGGUUCAAAUAUGAUCUUCUCGUAUGUUUGUCGUUUGUCCUCAAACUUCUGAAAGAGUUAAAAGAUUCUGGAAGUUGACUGGUAAAUUCCACAUACCACUCCAUGUACGGUCUGUAUGGUGCAACUCCUACAAAGAGUUAAUGUAAUGACAUGGUAAAAGUCACCCGCUGUGAGAGGAAUGCAGCUCUGAGACACUCUUAAUGGUUCCAUGUAAGGCUUACAGUAUAGACUAUAUAUAUAUACAGCUCCAUCGUACAUAUUAACACAUCAUAUAAUAUGCAGCCUUUGAAGUCUCAUCGGCUUUGUUAUGGCCCAGCUGGGGCGCCGACUGACUAUCAACAUUAAGGUGUUAUGAUGGUGUUGAAUUCCUGUUUUAAGGCUUUUUAAUUCAAACUGUAAGACAACAAAACAAAGAAGGUAUAUGUGAUUUUUCUUUAGGGACUUGAAAGAAAACAUUACAAAGCACCAAUAAAGUAGGGUGACCAUAUUCUGAAUCCCCAAAAAGAGGACACUACUACAUAGGGCGAAGUCACAGAAUCGUGCAUAGUUAAUUUUGAGAGGUUUUCAGGUCGGGAAGAGUGUUUUUUAUGUGCUUCUAACUCAGUUACUCACAUUUGAAAUAUCGCUCAGUCAAAGCUCGUACAGACUAGACAGCCCCCCAAAAAGAGGAAAUGUCCAGGUAAAAGAGGACGUAUGGUCACCCUACAACAGGAGACUUUGCCACAGUUAAAAGCCAAAAUAUAGCCAAUCACAGUGCUUCUGUUCCCUAUUUUUCCUGUUCUCCUGUAGUCCAGUCUUGUGAGUUUUCAGUUUGUGUUUGACCCUGAUUCCCUCCUGUUCUCUGUGUUUUAUUCUUCAUAUCAGUUUUCAGUGUUUAUUUCCUGUUUUAUUUUGUAGUAGUUGAUUCCUUGUGUUUCUAGUCUGGUUUUACUUCCCUAGUUUUCCCUCCUUUGUUUGAGUUUCACCUAUGUCUCGUCUGCCUCACCUGUUGCUCGUUUCCCAGUGUCUAUAUAUCUCUGUCUUCCCCUCUGUCCUGGUUGGUUCAUUGUGUGCUGAUGUGUGAUUUUUUUCCUGAGUGUCUUUAGUUGGAUUUUGCCCUUUUGGAACUUUUUGGUUGGACAUUUUGGAAGUAAGUUUUUGUUGCUUUUUAUUUUGUUCUUUUUUUUUAAUAAAUCCUUUUUUUGGGGGGGUCCUUUCCCUUUUUGUUAAACCCUGGCUCAUGACACUGUGAGUGUGAGACAUCCUUUAAACUGUGACAAGACAUGUUACAACACUAUGCCAAUAUCAAAGCUUAGAUAUAUCAGUCAUCUUGAUUAACUAGAUUACAGAUAAUCCAGUUUUUUGAAGCGUUAACAGGUUUCAGCUUGUUUGUGGCACCAGAAACUGACAACAUGAUGAUUUUCCAGUUUCACAGAGCUGUUAAGAUGGACAGAAAGAGUUAAAAAUCUAUACUAUUAGAGUCAAAUUCUCCUCCUGGGCAGGCUUGACAGGCAGCUGUGAGACAUUUGCAAUUUUCCUCUCACAAAGAAUGCAGCAGCAGCCAUAUGAACAGUGUUAUGUCAGUUUUACGAGUCCUGAUGAAGACAAGAUUUCCCAGUGCAAAAGAAAAGAACCUUCUUAAAUGAUUUUUGGGCAUAUUUAACGACUCAGCUGUCCAACCUGAAUGAUUUAUGGUCUGUCACACAACUCUGAUGAAUAAUGAGGAGGGGAUCUGAAAGCUGCAAAGCUCUGGGAAAUUAUAUACAAAAAAAAAAAAAAUGUACACGAAACUGAAGAGGAGACUUGAUGUGGGAAUCAGUCAACGAGGUGUGGUGCAAAUGAGUGAUGUGUGAGGAAUUCUGGAUGGCAGAGACCAAAGCGAAAACAAACACUGCAUGUACAGAGUGCGGUGAGUUUGCAGCUUCCAAGAACAAGCUGGAUUAAACUCUCCGUUGCAUGAGUUUAGCCGUCAGGAGAGCUGGCGAGUUACUCUGCAAAACAAAAGAUGACUCAAACGGCACACCCUGGCCGACCAAACGUUUAGAUCUUAAUCAAUCUCUAUGUGUUAAACGGCUCUUCAGUUGUCUUUACCUGUAGAAAAGCGCAUCCCCUGGGUGAGCUACGCAAUCUUCGUAUGCCCAUAGGCUGUAUCGAGUGUCAAUCAUAGAAAACAUGAACCCUCUAAUAACUUUUAAAAAUUGAGCUGCACAGAAAAAAGAGGACUUGAGCAAAAACCAGUCUGACAACAAUUACAUGUCAACACCGCAAGCAGGGUGGAGAAAAAAUUUUAUUCUGUAUGAUUAAUUUCUAAAUUUUGUCCCAGCUCCAUAGGGAUCGCUGGAGGAGGCGGG
This is a non-coding RNA of Xyrichtys novacula (pearly razorfish), 4438 nucleotides long. The record is from the annotation of a GenBank genome assembly. NCBI's taxonomy places the organism in Eukaryota, Metazoa, Chordata, Actinopteri, Labriformes, Labridae.